This 468-nucleotide ribosomal RNA is filed under the name uncultured bacterium. RNAcentral's name for it is "partial 16S ribosomal RNA". It matches the Rfam family "Bacterial small subunit ribosomal RNA", at positions 28 to 507 of the family's 1533-position model. The record is from RNAcentral.
GACGAACGCUGGCGGCGUGCUUAACACAUGCAAGUCGAACGGAAAGGCCCUGCUUUUGUGGGGUGCUCGAGUGGCGAACGGGUGAGUAACACGUGAGUAACCUGCCCUUGACUUUGGGAUAACUUCAGGAAACUGGGGCUAAUACCGGAUAGGAGCUCCUGCUGCAUGGUGGGGGUUGGAAAGUUUCGGCGGUUGGGGAUGGACUCGCGGCUUAUCAGCUUGUUGGUGGGGUAGUGGCUUACCAAGGCUUUGACGGGUAGCCGGCCUGAGAGGGUGACCGGCCACAUUGGGACUGGGAUACGGCCCAGACUCCUACGGGAGGCAGCAGUGGGGAAUAUUGCACAUUGGGCGGAAGCCUGAUGCAGCAACGCCGCGUGCGGGAUAACGGCCUUCGGGUUGUAAACCGCUUUCGCCUGUGACGAAGCGUGAGUGACGGUAAUGGGUAAAGAAGCACCGGCUAACUACGUG